AUGAGCGAACGGUUGUACAAAAAAAUAAAAGAAACUGAAUGUGAGUCUAAUUUAUUUAUUUCAAAUAACAAGGUAUUGUUUGAGAAUGUGUAUAGUCUGAUAACAGAUGGCAUUCCAAUUCCUAGUACGUAUUAUGUGAACGAAAAAAUAGUUGAUAGUGAAACUGAUAGAUAUAUUUUAACAAAAUACAUAUAUGAUGUAGAUGAUAUAAUAUAUAAAUUAGAAGCACAUUCAAAGAUACAACUUGAGAAGGUAAAGAAUUUAAGAGUAGAAUGUAUAGAUGAAAAAAAAUAUUUAAAAGAAAAUGAGAUCGAAUUAUUAUAUGAAAAAGAUAAAUAUAAUGAAUUGGAUUCGAUACAAAUAUAUGUAUCUUAUAAUAAUUUUGAAUAUAUAUGGAAUGAAGAUACUAUGCCUUAUUUUUUAAGUUGUUAUCAAGACGAAAUAAAUUUCAAAACACAUACUCAUAUUUUAGAAAAAAGUGAUUGUGGUUAUGAUUUACAAAUAGAAUUAUAUGAAAUCCCACAAAAUCCAGUACAAGCAUUUUUAGUUGCAUGUCAUUUGUCUAAAAUAAGAGAAGCAUUACAAUGUGGUCCUUUUAUGUAUUUUUUUUUAAACAAAAUAAAUUUACCAGAAAAUUUAUUUGAAAAAUUUAUAAUCAGAAAAAACGAAGUUAUUUUUAUUCUUAAAAAAAGUGAUUAUGUUUUAGUUGUUAUAUCUAUACAUUAUUAUGAUCACAUUGAUAAAUAUAUUGUAAUAGGACUAUGUCAAAAUAUUCAUUUAAUUACCAAAACUAUGGAUUUAUGUGGAAACCUGGACUGUUCUUUUUAUACUAAGUUCCCAUCACAUUUAAUUACUUCAGAAUUUUUCAUUUACGAUAAUACUGAUAGUAAUAAUUAUGAAGUCAGACGAUCUGCUCGACGAGAGGAUCACACUGAUACAGGUGGUAGCUACACAUUUGAGACACAAAAAAGUGAUUGCAGUAGCGUAGAUUCUGAAAGUGUAAACAAAAACUACGAUAAUGGUAAUGAGAAUGAGAAAGAUAAAGCAGAAGGUGAAGGAGAAGGAGAAGAAAAGGAGAAAAAAGAAAAUGUAGAAGAAACGGAAAAUGUAGAAGAAACGGAAAAUGUAGAAGAAAUGGAAAAAGUAGAAGACGCAGAAGAGGCAGAAGACGCAGAAGAAGCAGAAGAGGCAAAAGAGGCAGAAGAGGCAGAAGAGGCAAAAGAGGCAGAAGAGGCAGAAGAAGAAAAAAAUAAAAUACCUAAUGUUGGAUUUGUGUCGAUAAAAAUGGAUAUACAAUUAUUUAACAGCUGUCGUGAUUUUUCAGAAUUGGUAAAAGUUGCUAGUAGAAUAUCUCACAUAAUAAUUUCUUUUCGUCAUUUCUUAAAUAAUGCUUUAGUUUUAUAUAGGAUAAAACGUAGGCGUAUUUAUUAA
Molecule: long non-coding RNA, 1431 nt
Filed under: Piliocolobus tephrosceles (Ugandan red Colobus)
Lineage: Eukaryota; Metazoa; Chordata; Mammalia; Primates; Cercopithecidae
Description: lncRNA (ENSPTEG00000000293.1)
Source: RNAcentral